This is an RNA transcript of Triticum aestivum (bread wheat), 1539 nucleotides long. It is a transcript of the gene named F-box protein PP2-B10, with no coding region annotated. The transcript has 6 exons. The record is from RefSeq and is a predicted model, not a curated record. Lineage: Eukaryota; Viridiplantae; Streptophyta; Magnoliopsida; Poales; Poaceae.
CUCCCGAGUGCUUCGUGGCUAAGCCUCCGCCCGCGCUCUCCGAGCACGGUGUAAAAGAAUAUCCGUUCCUCACACCGCCAAACCAGUUGCCAAUCUCGCUCGAUCACCGAUGGAGGAGGCCUGCGAGAUCGCGCGCCUGCCGGAGGAGCUCCUCUCGGCGGCGCUCGCCCGCACCUCCCCGCGCGACGCCUGCCGCGCAGCCGCCAUCUCCCCGGCCUUCCGCGCCGCGGCCGACUCCGACGCCGUCUGGGCCGGCUUCCUGCCCCCCGGCGGCCUCCCGCCGCUCGCCGACGGGGAGCUGGCUGCCCCCGCCCCGCCCUCCUCCAAGAAGGAGCUCUUCCUCCGCCUCUCCGCCGGCCCCGCCCUCCUCCAGGACAAGCUCGUGAGCGUGUGGGUGGACAGGGAGACCGGCGCCAAGUGCUACAUGCUGUCCGCCAGGAACCUCUUCAUCGUGUGGGGGAACACGCCCGAGUACUGGACCUGGAUCCCACUCCAAGACUCCAGGUUCUCCGAAGGUGCUCAACUCAGGCAUGUUUGCUGGCUCGAGAUCCGUGGGAAGAUACACAGCAACCUGCUUUCCCUGGACACAACCUAUACCGCCUACAUGGUCUUCAAGAAAACUGAUGAUUUCUAUGGGCUGGCAUUUCCGGUCCAGGAGGCAUCGGUCAGCGUUGGAGCAACCAACUUAACCCGCAAGGUUUGCCUCCAACAUAACAAUGAUGAUGACGACGGCGACGGCGACAAUGAUGACGAUGACGACUACGAUGACUGUGGGAUGCCCGAGAACUACUGGUCCAUGAGAAGGAAUGGCCUACACAAAGAAAAUGUCGCACUCCCUCAGCAAAGGACCGACGGAUGGAUGGAGCUGGAGCUGGGCGAGUUCUUCAACGAGGGGGGUGAAGACGGCGAGGUGUCCAUCAGCCUGACGGAGGCCAAAGGUGGGAACUGGAAGAGCGGCCUCAUCGUGCAGGGCAUUGAGAUCAGACCCCACAGCCCACAGAGGAUACCGGCUACGCUCAUCCGUUCACUCGAUCCAGCCCCCACUCGGUCGUUCCCCAAGUCCCCAACCUAACCUAGCGACUGCGGCCAGCGGCGGCGGCGGCGGCGAGUAGCGGCCAGCGCCCAGCGGCGGCAACGGCGGCGAGUAGCGGUCAACGGCGGCGGCCAGUACUGACUGCAGGCAGCGGCAAGCAGAGCCGCUGAACGGGCGACCAGCGGCAGGCCGGCAGCUGACCAGGUGGAUUUGCAGUGCAGUUAAAUUGGACAAAUUGCUGCUAGUGUUGGAUUUGAAUGCAACGAGCUACUGCCUAAGAUGAAGAAGAAGGGUGUUAGUAUUGUUGCAUUGUGGGAAUGAGCUAUGUGAAGAAUAAGCUAAACAAAAUGGGUGAUGAAUAUCUGAACAAUUGUUUGGUUACAUUUGUUGAGAGAGACUUUUUCGAUCAAGUGAAGGAUGAAGAUGUCAUCAAUCUGUUCCAAAAAGGCGAUCGCAAAGUUAUAUUGUAAGAAGGAUAUCAUCGCAAACAUAGUUGAAGCGCACCG